UACGUAGGGGCAAGCGUUAUCCGGAUUUACUGGGUGUAAAGGGAGCGCAGACGGAACUGCAAGUCUGAUGUGAAAGCCCGGGGCUCAACCGCGGGACUGCAUCGGAUACUGUGGAUCUGGAGUGCCGGAGGGGCAAGCGGAAUUCCUGGUGUAGCGGUGAAAUGCGUAGAUAUCAGGAGGAACACCGGCGGCGAAGGCGGCUUGCUGGACGGCAACUGACGUUGAGGCUCGAAAGCGUGGGGAGCAAACAGGAUUAGAUACCCG
This 264-nucleotide ribosomal RNA is filed under the name uncultured prokaryote. Its description in RNAcentral is "partial 16S ribosomal RNA". It matches the Rfam family "Bacterial small subunit ribosomal RNA", at positions 524 to 788 of the family's 1533-position model. The record is from RNAcentral.